This 878-nucleotide ribosomal RNA is filed under the name marine metagenome. RNAcentral's name for it is "bacterial SSU rRNA". It matches the Rfam family "Bacterial small subunit ribosomal RNA", at positions 546 to 1425 of the family's 1533-position model. The record is from RNAcentral.
CGGAAUUACUGGGCUUAAAGAGUUCGUAGGUGGUUGAAAAAGUUAGUGGUGAAAUCCCAGAGCUUAACUCUGGAACUGCCAUUAAAACUUUUCAGCUAGAGUAUGAUAGAGGAAAGCAGAAUUUCUAGUGUAGAGGUGAAAUUCGUAGAUAUUAGAAAGAAUACCAAUUGCGAAGGCAGCUUUCUGGAUCAUUACUGACACUGAGGAACGAAAGCAUGGGUAGCGAAGAGGAUUAGAUACCCUCGUAGUCCAUGCCGUAAACGAUGUGUGUUAGACGUUGGAAAUUUAUUUUCAGUGUCGCAGCGAAAGCGAUAAACACACCGCCUGGGGAGUACGACCGCAAGGUUAAAACUCAAAUGAAUUGACGGGGACCCGCACAAGUAGUGGAGCAUGUGGUUUAAUUCGAAGAUACGCGCAGAACCUUACCAACACUUGACAUGUUCGUCGCGACUUUAAGAGAUUAAAGUUUUCGGUUCGGCCGGACGAAACACAGGUGCUGCAUGGCUGUCGUCAGCUCGUGUCGUGAGAUGUUGGGUUAAGUCCCGCAACGAGCGCAACCCUCACUUUUAGUUGCCAUCAUUUAGUUGGGCACUCUGAAAGAACUGCCAGUGAUAAGCUGGAGGAAGGUGGGGAUGACGUCAAGUCCUCAUGGCCCUUACGUGUUGGGCUACACACGUGCUACAAUGGUAUCUACAACAGGAAGCAAAACCGCGAGGUUAAGCAAAUCCUUAAAAGAUACCUCAGUUCGGAUUGCACUCUGCAACUCGAGUGCAUGAAGCUGGAAUUACUAGUAAUCGUGGAUCAGCGUGCCACGGUGAAUGCGUUCCCGGGUCUUGUACACACCGCCCGUCACACCAUGGGAGUUGGUUCUACCUUAA